Molecule: ribosomal RNA, 301 nt
Filed under: uncultured bacterium
Lineage: Bacteria
Description: partial 16S ribosomal RNA
Rfam family: Bacterial small subunit ribosomal RNA
Source: RNAcentral
CAGUAGCCGCGGGAAAACGUAGGUGGCAAGCGUUGUCCGGAAUUAUUGGGCGUAAAGGGCUCGCAGGCGGUUUCUUAAGUCUGAUGUGAAAGCCCCCGGCUCAACCGGGGAGGGUCAUUGGAAACUGGGAAACUUGAGUGCAGAAGAGGAGAGUGGAAUUCCACGUGUAGCGGUGAAAUGCGUAGAGAUGUGGAGGAACACCAGUGGCGAAGGCGACUCUCUGGUCUGUAACUGACGCUGAGGAGCGAAAGCGUGGGGAGCGAACAGGAUUAGAUACCCGAGUAGUCCCUGUCUCUUAUAA